Synchiropus splendidus (mandarinfish) is the source of this 3302-nucleotide RNA transcript. It is a transcript of the gene named arginine vasopressin receptor 1Aa, with no coding region annotated. The record is from RefSeq and is a predicted model, not a curated record. Lineage: Eukaryota; Metazoa; Chordata; Actinopteri; Syngnathiformes; Callionymidae. The transcript has 3 exons.
GAUGCGACCGGCUCCGGACCGCGCCACCGCCAUGCGCACUCCGCAUUCUCCGCCGCUCCUGAACGGAGACAACCUGUCCGCUCCCACCUUGGACCCCAGCAACGGCAGCGAGCACCCCAACGCGUCGGACCCGUUCGCGCGCAACGAGCACGUGGCUCAGAUGGAGAUCCUGGCGCUGAGCGUCACCCUGGUGGUGGCGGUGAUCGGGAACGUCAGCGUGCUGCUGGCCGUGCGCAACACCAAGAGGAAGACGUCGCGCAUGCACCUCUUCAUCAAACACCUGAGCCUGGCGGACCUGGUGGUGGCCUUCUUCCAGGUGCUGCCGCAGCUCUGCUGGGAGGUCACCUUCCGCUUCUACGGUCCGGACUUUCUGUGCAGGAUCGUCAAGCACCUGCAGGUGACGGGCAUGUUCGCCUCCACCUACAUGAUGGUGAUGAUGACCGUGGACCGCUACAUCGCCAUCUGCCACCCGCUCAAGACGCUGCAGCAGCCCACGCAGCGCUCCUACAUCAUGAUCGUGUCCACGUGGCUCAGCAGUCUGGUCCUCAGCGUCCCGCAGUUCUUCAUCUUCUCCCUCAGCGAGAUCGAGCCCGACUCGGACGUGUACGACUGCUGGGCGCACUUCAUCGAGCCCUGGGGCGCCAGAGCCUACAUCACCUGGAUCACCGUGGGCAUCUUUCUGGUGCCGGUCCUGAUCCUCAUGACGUGCUACGGCUUCAUCUGCCACACGAUUUGGAAAAACAUCAAGUACAAGAAGAGCAGGAGCGCGCCGGCGGGGGCCGCCAGCAAAGGCGGGCUGAUCGGGAAGAACUCGGUCAACAGCGUCACCACCAUCUCCAGAGCCAAACUCAGGACCGUGAAGAUGACUUUCGUCAUCGUCCUGGCUUACGUCAUCUGCUGGGCGCCCUUCUUCACCGUGCAGAUGUGGUCCGUGUGGGACGAGAAGUUCCAGUGGGCAGACUCGGAGAACACAGCGGUGACUCUGUCGGCGCUGCUCGCCAGCCUCAACAGCUGCUGCAACCCCUGGAUCUACAUGAUCUUCAGCGGCCAUCUCCUCCAGGACUUCCUGCACUGCUUCUCCGUCUGCUACAAGAGCAACGCCGACUUCAAGAAGGAGGACUCGGACAGCAGCGUGCGCAGGACCACGCUGCUGACCCGGAUGACCAACCGCAGCCCCUCCAACAGCACCAGCAACUGGAGGGAGCUGGACAGUUCCGCCAAGUCCUCCCUCCAGGCAGAGUGAUGGCCGCAGCGCUCGGUGAAUGUCGGGAGACUGGAUCAAGUCCAGGAGAUGACGCAGAGCCACCCAACCUACCGGCUUCCUGUCGCAGAUAAAGUCCACACGGCAGGAGGCGAGGGAACAGCAGUCUCCGGGAAACCGAGGCAGCCACGUGGUGCUUCUGUGUGCUCUGCUGCUGAGACCGGCCGGGCGGGCGACUGAAGGCCCAAACAUCUGGAGCACGCUCAGAUGUUCCAUCACAGACCUGAUGAAUGUCCACGUCCUGCCCGAGAACACAUUUGGGUUCCUGACAUUCCAAAGACGUCGACUGGCUUCCUGGACACACAAACACUUCCCGCACGUCAAGAUCCAUUUUCUUGAUAUCGCUGUCUGUAAAUAAGAGUAAUAUAUGUGAACCUGAGCUGCACGUGUCGGCUUGUACGCAUUAAAUCAUACGGAAAUGUGAGAAUGUUCCGAGCACGGCUGCUUCUUCUGCUCGCUGCUCCACCACAGACGUCUCCCUGACUGUUUUGGAUUCAACCAGCAGAACUCUGGGAUCCAGUGGAACCUUUCAGUGCUGCGGCAACAACCAUCACAGAGGAGUCGCAAACUAUAGUCAGAUGAGUCGCUCUGUUGGAUUCACUUACACAUUUGCUAUAUUAUUUAUUAUUUAACUCACAAAGAAAACAGUUGUAUUAAAUCAUUCAUGCACUUCAUAACUGCUCUGAAAUUGUUUGAUCAUAUAAUCACACACUGCAAGUCAUUUAAGGGGUCACCUGGUUUUUUGGGGUUCUUUUAGAAUAAACUAAAAUGUUAACUUUAGCGUCAUUCUUAUAAUAACUUUAAAAGAUAUUUUUGUGUCAGAAAGGGACAAACUAGAUAAUAUUCACUGUACUUGUUCAUGCCUCAAAGUAAACUGCAGCUUGAAAAAAAACACACUAAAAACUAUAUAAAUAAUAAUGAUAAUAAAAGCGGGUCCCCUUUCACUUUCCCCAGCUGCUUUCCUGCACGGCAUGUAAAUGCAGAUCGCCACAGAUACAACAGGACACUUCCUCUUUAAGACCAAGCCUGUGAUGUGUGUGACCUCUCUACUCCACUGAAUGUUAUUACGACACAUCAGGUGAUAUGAAGUUUGUUAGUGUUUCACAAGAGAGUUUUGGACGGCGCCACGAUGAUGUCACCCAACAGAGCGGCGGUGAAGAAACGUGAAAUGUUUUCUGGUCCGACUGCAGAUGAAUAAAGCUUUGAAAGACGUUUGAGUCUGAAGUGACUCCACCAGCUGCGUCUCAGGUGUCGCGACCAGAGUCUCAUUAGACAGACGUGUCAGUCAUCGGGUGGGACCCGAUGCGAGUCUAGACUGAGGUUCUCCUGAGGGCUCAGGUUCUGCCGCUCAGACGGCAUCCAGCAGCGAGACCCGGACAGAGUCAGGCUCUUGUCUGUGUUCGUGAAAGUGAAGCCUGUUUUCAAAAGUAUUUCAAUAUUUGUGUGUCCUCUCAGCAGAGCUACAAGUGUGUGUGUGUGUUUAAGCAUGUCUAUCCUAGUGAGGUCCGAUUUCAGGGAUCUUAAUGUCUUUGUGGGGCCUUUUUGCUGGACCCCAUGAGGUUAAGCCUCAAUUUGAGGAUGAAAAAAUUCAAAAUAACUGGGUCAUUAUAACUGGGUUUCAGUUUAGCUCAGGUCCUGGCUGACGUUACUGUGUGUUUUACAAGGUUAGGUUUAGGGUGAGAGGCUGGGGAAAGGGUGAUAACAGUGAGAGAACGUGUGUGUGUGAAAUUGAACCGCUGUAUCUUCACAUUUUAUUUGUUUCUAUUUCAUCAAUUAAUCCUUUCCUCCUGAUAUUUAUCCACUUGACAUGUUUCCUGUCACUUUUCAUUCUUCAUAUUUUUACAGAUAAAUGCGGUUAUCCUGUGUUUUUGUUGCAUUUUUUUUUUUAAUUGACUGAAAGAUGAUAUUAUUGACUUGACAUCAAUAAUUUAAUAUUAACACGUAAUUCAAUAUAAAAUAUUACGGGUUUCAUUUUUUAUUUUAUGUAUAUUCAUAAAAAUCCUAUUUAAAAUGUAAUGUUCAAAAAGUGUUCAGAUUUAAU